Molecule: long non-coding RNA, 1339 nt
Filed under: Mytilus galloprovincialis (Mediterranean mussel)
Lineage: Eukaryota; Metazoa; Mollusca; Bivalvia; Mytilida; Mytilidae
Source: RNAcentral
UCUAUUGAUAUUGUGGAUAGCAUAUGAUAUACAUGUAUCAAUCUUACAGAAAUGGGCCCAACAUUGUCCAUACAUUGAAACUUUUCUAUAUAAUAUAUUUGUUUGUUAUUCCAGAAAAAUAGAAAUUUAAACUUAAUUUAUAGACUUUUAUAUUGGGGUUUUUAGGUUUGUGCAAUCUAUAUUGAUGCAUGAUUUACUGAUUUACUCUACUAACAUACUAGUCAUAUGUAUCUAUAACUUAUAUAAUAGCUUGUAAACUGGUGAAUAGGGAACUGUAAAAAAAAAAUAACACUGUUUGUGAUAAUCAUAACAAAUAUAAGUUGGUAUCCCCACCAAUUAAAAGUCAUUUCAAAACCAAAAAUGCUAAUUUAAAAAGUAUCCGUUAAACUAUGAUAUUUGCAAUAAACAUGCAAAUUUUAUCAUAUUGUUUUAUCAUUUAUUGAGAGAAUUGCAUACGAAGCGUUCUACACUGACACAUACAGCCAGUAGAAAAAUAUAUUGAAGUUAAUACCCGAGGAAUUUAUUUUGAUAGCAAUACCAAUUUCACACAAAACUAUAGCCUGAUGUUCUCAAUGUUGAUAUACUAGGAAAGAAUUAUCUACAUUCUAUGGCUAUUUUUGUUUUAAGUUAUCUUAAUUUUUUCAAUUAUUUCUAUUUACCAGAUUAUUUUGGAGAACUUAUCAGUUAAGUCUUCACAGAGAAUGGGCAGAUCAUUUAAGACUUGCAUUUCUGAGUGUUUGCAAGGGAGAUAAUGGUGUGUUUAACUUGAUGAUAAGUGUGAUUUCAACACGAAAAUAUAUCUGACUUAAUCUUUCUUUUUUUAUGGCCUUUAAAAUUCCAAAGAAAGUCUCAAGAUGAUUUUGAAGUGCAAUAGAAACUACAUAAUUUCAAUAUUGUAUACAGUUUUUGUAUGUUUGCAUUUUCAACAUUUCUAUAGAAAGCCAUUAGAAAAACACAAUUCAAACAGAUACCGGCAGUAUUUUAUCAUAUUAAAGUGUUGUAUGGUCCUUGUAAGUGAAGCAUGGACAAAGGAUCUAUAUUUCAGUUGAAUUGGUAUUAAUAUGACAAGGUUGUACGGUAUCAAAUUAACAUUCCCAAUGUGUGAAACAAUUGUCGUCAGAUUUAAUUAAAAUAGUAAGUGCUGGAUGCAUAGUAAGUGCUAGGUUGUUGCUUUAACAGAAAUUAUUCAGAAAAUUAAUAUAUAACCGUCUUUAUUGUAUGUUUGUUUUAGCAAGAAGGGAAGGUUGCACUUAUUCUGUAUUUCUAUAUAUUUGUUUCAUGUUGAUAUAAUUUAUUGUGAACUUUGUAUGUGAAUUUUUGUUGAAAAUAAAUUUUGAAU